This 703-nucleotide ribosomal RNA is filed under the name uncultured Bacteroidota bacterium. Its description in RNAcentral is "bacterial SSU rRNA". It matches the Rfam family "Bacterial small subunit ribosomal RNA", at positions 60 to 762 of the family's 1533-position model. The record is from RNAcentral. Lineage: Bacteria; Pseudomonadati; Bacteroidota.
AGUCGAGGGGUAUAAGGAGCUUGCUCCUUAGAGACCGGCGCACGGGUGCGUAACGCGUAUGCAAUCUACCUUUCACAGAGGGAUAGCCCAGAGAAAUUUGGAUUAAUACCUCAUAGUAUAUAUGGAUGGCAUCAUUUGUAUAUUAAAGUCACAACGGUGAAAGAUGAGCAUGCGUCCCAUUAGCUAGUUGGUAAGGUAACGGCUUACCAAGGCGACGAUGGGUAGGGGUCCUGAGAGGGAGAUCCCCCACACUGGUACUGAGACACGGACCAGACUCCUACGGGAGGCAGCAGUGAGGAAUAUUGGUCAAUGGGCGCAAGCCUGAACCAGCCAUGCCGCGUGCAGGAUGAAGCAUCUAUGGUGUGUAAACUGCUUUUGUACGGGAAGAAACAGAGGUUCGUGAACCUCCUUGACGGUACCGUAAGAAUAAGGAUCGGCUAACUCCGUGCCAGCAGCCGCGGUAAUACGGAGGAUCCAAGCGUUAUCCGGAAUCAUUGGGUUUAAAGGGUCCGUAGGCGGUUUGGUAAGUCAGUGGUGAAAGCCCAUCGCUCAACGGUGGAACGGCCAUUGAUACUGCCAGACUUGAAUUACUAGGAAGUAACUAGAAUAUGUAGUGUAGCGGUGAAAUGCUUAGAUAUUACAUGGAAUACCAAUUGCGAAGGCAGGUUACUACUAGUGGAUUGACGCUGAUGGACGAAAGCGU